Molecule: RNase P RNA, 351 nt
Filed under: Planctomycetota bacterium
Lineage: Bacteria; Pseudomonadati; Planctomycetota
Description: partial RNase P RNA component class A
Rfam family: Bacterial RNase P class A
About the family: Ribonuclease P (RNase P) is a ubiquitous endoribonuclease, found in archaea, bacteria and eukarya as well as chloroplasts and mitochondria. Its best characterised activity is the generation of mature 5'-ends of tRNAs by cleaving the 5'-leader elements of precursor-tRNAs.
Source: RNAcentral
UGGUCGCGGGGCCAGGCUUCGGCCUGCCACGAGGAAAGUCCGGGCACCGCAGGGCAGGGUGGUGGCUAACGGCCACCGUUCGCAAGGAUAGGGAAAGUGCCACAGAGAACAGACCGCCAACCCCGGCCCUAAAGGCCGGGCGGCAAGGGUGAAACGGUGGUGUAAGAGACCACCGCGGGCAGUGGUGACACUCCCGGCACGGCAAACCCCACCCGGUGAAAGGCCUAGUAGGGAGGAAGGGGCGGCCCGUCCCGCCAUAACCUCCGGGAAGGCCGUUCGAGGCGGCGGGCAACCGCCGCCCUAGACAAAUGACCGUCCACGACAGGACCCGGCUUAACGCCCGCUCCUCGG